This 1251-nucleotide ribosomal RNA is filed under the name Candidatus Phytoplasma solani. RNAcentral describes it as "bacterial SSU rRNA". It matches the Rfam family "Bacterial small subunit ribosomal RNA", at positions 153 to 1406 of the family's 1533-position model. Lineage: Bacteria; Bacillati; Mycoplasmatota; Mollicutes; Acholeplasmatales; Acholeplasmataceae. The record is from RNAcentral.
GAAACGACUGCUAAGACUGGAUAGGAGAUAAGAAGGCAUCUUUUUAUUUUUAAAAGACCUAGCAAUAGGUAUGCUUAGGGAAGAGCUUGCGUCACAUUAGUUAGUUGGUGGGGUAAUGGCCUACCAAGACGAUGAUGUGUAGCCGGGCUGAGAGGUCGAACGGCCACAUUGGGACUGAGACACGGCCCAAACUCCUACGGGAGGCAGCAGUAAGGAAUUUUCGGCAAUGGAGGAAACUCUGACCGAGCAAUGCCGCGUGAACGAUGAAGUAUUUCGGUACGUAAAGUUCUUUUAUUAGGGAAGAAAAGAUGGUGGAAAAACCAUUAUGACGGUACCUAAUGAAUAAGCCCCGGCUAACUAUGUGCCAGCAGCCGCGGUAAUACAUAGGGGGCAAGCGUUAUCCGGAAUUAUUGGGCGUAAAGGGUGCGUAGGCGGUUAAAUAAGUUUAUGGUCUAAGUGCAACGCUCAACGUUGUGAUGCUAUAAAAACUGUUUAGCUAGAGUUGGAUAGAGGCAAGUGGAAUUCCGUGUGUAGUGGUAAAAUGCGUAAAUAUACGGAGGAACACCAGAAGCGAAGGCGGCUUGCUGGGUCUUAACUGACGCUGAGGCACGAAAGCGUGGGGAGCAAACAGGAUUAGAUACCCUGGUAGUCCACGCCCUAAACGAUGAGUACUAAACGUUGGAUAAAACCAGUGUUGAAGUUAACACAUUAAGUACUCCGCCUGAGUAGUACGUACGCAAGUAUGAAACUUAAAGGAAUUGACGGGACUCCGCACAAGCGGUGGAUCAUGUUGUUUAAUUCGAAGGUACCCGAAAAACCUCACCAGGUCUUGACAUGCUUUUGCAAAGCUGUAGAAAUACAUUGGAGGUUAUCAGAAGCACAGGUGGUGCAUGGUUGUCGUCAGCUCGUGUCGUGAGAUGUUGGGUUAAGUCCCGCAACGAGCGCAACCCUUGUUGUUAAUUGCCAUCAUUAAGUUGGGGACUUUAGCAAGACUGCCAAUGAUAAAUUGGAGGAAGGUGGGGACGACGUCAAAUCAUCAUGCCCCUUAUGACCUGGGCUACAAACGUGAUACAAUGGCUGUUACAAAGGGUAGCUAAAGCGUAAGCUUCUGGCGAAUCUCAAAAAAGCAGUCUCAGUUCGGAUUGAAGUCUGCAACUCGACUUCAUGAAGUUGGAAUCGCUAGUAAUCGCGAAUCAGCAUGUCGCGGUGAAUACGUUCUCGGGGUUUGUACACACCGCCCGUCAAACCACG